Molecule: ribosomal RNA, 253 nt
Filed under: uncultured bacterium
Lineage: Bacteria
Description: partial 16S ribosomal RNA
Rfam family: Bacterial small subunit ribosomal RNA
Source: RNAcentral
UACGUAGGGUGCGAGCGUUGUCCGGAAUUACUGGGCGUAAAGAGCUCGUAGGUGGUUUGUCGCGUUGUCCGUGAAAACUCACAACUCAAUUGUGGGCGUGCGGGCGAUACGGGCAGACUGGAGUACUGCAGGGGAGACUGGAAUUCCUGGUGUAGCGGUGGAAUGCGCAGAUAUCAGGAGGAACACCGGUGGCGAAGGCGGGUCUCUGGGCCGAAAUUGACGCUGAGGAGCGAAAGCGUGGGGAGCAAACAGG